UGGGGAAUAUUGGACAAUGGGCGCAAGCCUGAUCCAGCAAUGCCGCGUGUGUGAAGAAGGCCUGCGGGUUGUAAAGCACUUUAAGCAGGGAGGAGGGGUACUGGCGUGAAUAGCGUUGGUAUCUGACGUUACCUGCAGAAUAAGCACCGGCUAACUUCGUGCCAGCAGCCGCGGUAAUACGAAGGGUGCAAGCGUUAAUCGGAAUUACUGGGCGUAAAGCGCGUGUAGGCGGUUAUUUAAGUCAGAUGUGAAAGCCCCGGGCUCAACCUGGGAAUGGCAUUUGAUACUGGGUAACUGGAAUGUGGUAGAGGGAGGCGGAAUUUCCGGUGUAGCGGUGAAAUGCGUAGAUAUCGGAAAGAACACCAAUGGCGAAGGCAGCCUCCUGGGCCAACAUUGACGC
RNAcentral lists this ribosomal RNA (400 nucleotides) under uncultured bacterium. RNAcentral describes it as "bacterial SSU rRNA". It matches the Rfam family "Bacterial small subunit ribosomal RNA", at positions 355 to 746 of the family's 1533-position model. The record is from RNAcentral.